Maniola jurtina (meadow brown) is the source of this 214-nucleotide long non-coding RNA. RefSeq lists it as uncharacterized. The record is from RefSeq and is a predicted model, not a curated record. Lineage: Eukaryota; Metazoa; Arthropoda; Insecta; Lepidoptera; Nymphalidae. The transcript is spliced from 2 exons.
GAAACGUCAGUUUUGCUAUCGAAACAAUACCGCGGAACAGUAGGAGGCCUGAAGUUGGAAGCAAGUGCGCGUAUUUACUACGGCCGGUGAGAAAAAUGUGCUGUAGUCAGUGUAUGCUCCCGAAAAUAAUUAUUUUGCCGGGAUUAACCAACAUAUAAAUCCUUGCAUUCUCAAGUAAGUACCCAAAUGAUGGAGGACCAAGAUAACUUUAUUU